This 253-nucleotide ribosomal RNA is filed under the name uncultured bacterium. RNAcentral's name for it is "partial 16S ribosomal RNA". It matches the Rfam family "Bacterial small subunit ribosomal RNA", at positions 524 to 776 of the family's 1533-position model. The record is from RNAcentral.
UACGUAGGGUGCAAGCGUUAAUCGGAAUUACUGGGCGUAAAGCGUGCGCAGGCGGUUGUGUAGGACAGAUGUGAAAUCCCCGGGCUCAACCUGGGAACUGCAUUUGUGACUGCACAGCUGGAGUGCGGCAGAGGGGGAUGGAAUUCCGCGUGUAGCAGUGAAAUGCGUAGAUAUGCGGAGGAACACCGAUGGCGAAGGCAAUCCCCUGGGCCUGCACUGACGCUCAUGCACGAAAGCGUGGGGAGCAAACAGG